GACGAACGCUGGCGGCGUGCCUAAUACAUGCAAGUCGAACGCUGAAGGAGGAGCUUGCUUCUCUGGAUGAGUUGCGAACGGGUGAGUAACGCGUAGGUAACCUGCCUGGUAGCGGGGGAUAACUAUUGGAAACGAUAGCUAAUACCGCAUAAGAGUAGAUGUUGCAUGACAUUUGCUUAAAAGGUGCAAUUGCAUCACUACCAGAUGGACCUGCGUUGUAUUAGCUAGUUGGUGGGGUAACGGCACACCAAGGCGACGAUACAUAGCCGACCUGAGAGGGGGAUCGGCCACACUGGGACGGAGACACGGCCCAGUAGCCUACGGGAGGCAGCAGGAGGGAAACGUCGGCCAUGGGCGGAAGGCUGACCGAGCAACGCCGCGUGAGUGAAGAAGGGUGUCGGAUCGUAAAGGUCGGUUGUAAGAGAAGAAAGAGUGUGAGAGUGGAAAGUUCACACUGUGACGGUAUCUUACCAGAAAGGGACGGCUAACUACGUG
This 495-nucleotide ribosomal RNA is filed under the name uncultured bacterium. RNAcentral's name for it is "partial 16S ribosomal RNA". It matches the Rfam family "Bacterial small subunit ribosomal RNA", at positions 28 to 507 of the family's 1533-position model. The record is from RNAcentral.